Long non-coding RNA from Diabrotica virgifera virgifera (western corn rootworm), 1359 nucleotides. RefSeq lists it as uncharacterized. NCBI's taxonomy places the organism in Eukaryota, Metazoa, Arthropoda, Insecta, Coleoptera, Chrysomelidae. The transcript is spliced from 2 exons. The record is from RefSeq and is a predicted model, not a curated record.
ACAAUAAUUACUCUACGAUGAAUUACAUGUCAGUUAACGUCGCCGUUGAUGUUUAAAGUAAUUGUAAUACAUACUUGAAGCCACAGAAAAUAAACAUAAGAUAAGAUAAUCUUAAACGAAGUACAAUACUUCAACACAAACUAUGUAGUCUUAGUAGUGAUCGAAAUAAAAGUACAAAGAUGUACAUACAUACUUGAAAUCUGUCUAUCUAUAACCUUUUCUUCUUGAAUAUUCAUCAUCUUGAUCACAAGAAAGGUAUGGAAUGAACAUAGAAGACUUCCAAAGUCUGGUGGCCACAAUUGAUAUACAGAUACGUCAAAAACGGAGGAUGGUUCGGGAGCAAGAGUAUACAGUGGUAAUAUAAACUCUCACAGUUCAGCCCCAUUGUGUGUGUCCCAAACUGGUGUGGAGAUAUCGCGAAGAACUUAACAACCAAGUGGCCCGCAACAGUGUAAAACUUGUUUGGGUGCCACGUUAUCGAGGUCAUCAAAGAACGGACUACAAUGAAAGAGCCGAUGAACUUGCUAGAAGCGAAUCGGGAACGAGAUACUUCGGUCCAGAAACGGUUCUGCACCGAAAGUACAAUCAGAAACCGAAUAAAAUGCUGGGUUCGGGCAUCUCAUGAGAAGAGUUUCGUAACUCAGAACUGCGAAAAGAGAGCUGCAGAACUGCUAAUGCCAAAAUGAACAGGAAGCGCCUAAGUUGCAGAUUGUCCAACAAAGAGACUGACACAGUGAGACAUAUUUUGUGCGACGGGGAGCAGACUAAAUCCAAAUACAACUGGCACUCCCCCCAAAAAAUUGCUAUUAACUGGUGGAGGGUAAAAACAUUUCGAAUGGGUAUAAUAAAAGAAUAUGGAAGGUAAGUACAAUAAGCCUCAAGGCUUCCAAAGCCAGAUUUAUUAAUAUUCCUGAAAUAUGCUCCAACUACAUUUGUAGAAAGUUCAUUUCCAAUGUCUUAAUUAAUUUUAAGUCAUCAAAGACACAGUUUUUAGACCAAAAAUAUUGAAAAGCAUUUAGUUGUAGCGAUUGAUGAUAAAAUUUUAAGUGGUUACAAUGUUUAAUUAUUAAUUAACAAUUAUUUAGCUAUUAAUAUAUUAUAUUAUUAAUGUUAUGUUGUAUAAAUAUAUGUAUUUAUGUUAAGUUAAUAUUACGUUAAUUCACUUUGUAUAAUAAUUUUAAAAAACAGUGUGGCACUUGCGGAGUGCCCAGUGACGGUUUAAGGCAUCAUGGGGCCCUAGGCGGCCAUAAGAAGUAGGCCCCUUUAUAGCGACCAUUUACUUAAAACAAAUUUACACAGAUAUUUAUGUUGUUUUGGGAAGUAGUUACUCCAAAAAUAAAUUACGGCAAUGUAAAAUCA